GACGAACGCUGGCGGCGUGCUUAACACAUGCAAGUCGAACGGAAAGGCCUGCUUUCCCUUGUGGAUUGCGGGUACUCGAGUGGCGAACGGGUGAGUAACACGUGAGUGAUCUGCCCCCAACUUGGGUAUAAGCCUGGGAAACUGGGUCUAAUUCCCGAUAGGACUGCAGGGUGGUGCCUGUGGUGGAAAACGAUGUUCUAGUGGUUGGGGAUGAGCUCGCGGCCUAUCAGCUUGUUGGUGGGGUAAUGGCCUACCAAGGCGGCGACGGGUAGCCGGCCUGGGAGGGUGGACGGCGAUAUUGGGACUGGGUUACGGCCCAGACUCCUACGGGAGGCAGCAGUGGGGAAUAUUGCACAAUGGGCGGAAGCCUGAUGCAGCGACGGCGCGUGGGGGAUGACGGCCUUCGGGUUGUAAACUCCUUUCGAGCGCGAGGAAGCCACCUGGUUGGAAGGGUGGUGACGGUAGUGGUAGAAGAAGCACCGGCUAACUACGUG
RNAcentral lists this ribosomal RNA (494 nucleotides) under uncultured bacterium. Its description in RNAcentral is "partial 16S ribosomal RNA". It matches the Rfam family "Bacterial small subunit ribosomal RNA", at positions 28 to 507 of the family's 1533-position model. The record is from RNAcentral.